Molecule: ribosomal RNA, 468 nt
Filed under: uncultured bacterium
Lineage: Bacteria
Description: partial 16S ribosomal RNA
Rfam family: Bacterial small subunit ribosomal RNA
Source: RNAcentral
GACGAACGCUGGCGGCGUGCUUAACACAUGCAAGUCGAACGGAAAGGCCCUGCUUUUGUGGGGUGCUCGAGUGGCGAACGGGUGAGUAACACGUGAGUAACCUGCCCUUGACUUUGGGAUAACUUCAGGAAACUGGGGCUAAUACCGGAUAGGAGCUCCUGCUGCAUGGUGGGGGUUGGAAAGUUUCGGCGGUUGGGGAUGGACUCGCGGCUUAUCAGCUUGUUGGUGGGGUAGUGGCUUACCAAGGCUUUGACGGGUAGCCGGCCUGGGAGGGUGACCGGCCACAUUGGGACUGAGAUACGGCCCAGACUCCUACGGGAGGCAGCAGUGGGGAAUAUUGCGCAAUGGGCGGAAGCCUGAUGCAGCAACGCCGCGUGCGGGAUGACGGCCUUCGGGCUGUAAACCGCUUUCGCCUGUGACGAAGCGUGAGUGACGGUAAUGGGUAAAGAAGCACCGGCUAACUACGUG